RNAcentral lists this ribosomal RNA (1343 nucleotides) under uncultured bacterium. RNAcentral describes it as "16S ribosomal RNA". It matches the Rfam family "Bacterial small subunit ribosomal RNA", at positions 28 to 1378 of the family's 1533-position model. The record is from RNAcentral.
GACGAACGCUGGCGGCGUGCUUAACACAUGCAAGUCGAACGGAAAGGCCCUGCUCUUGUGGGGUGCUCGAGUGGCGAACGGGUGAGUAACACGUGAGUAACCUGCCCUUGACUUUGGGAUAACUUCAGGAAACUGGGGCUAAUACCGGAUAGGAGCUCCUGCUGCAUGGUGGGGGUCGGAAAGUUUCGGCGGUUGGGGAUGGACUCGCGGCUUAUCAGCUUGUUGGUGGGGUAGUGGCUUACCAAGGCUUUGACGGGUAGCCGGCCUGAGAGGGUGACCGGCCACAUUGGGACUGAGAUACGGCCCAGACUCCUACGGGAGGCAGCAGUGGGGAAUAUUGCACAAUGGGCGGAAGCCUGAUGCAGCAACGCCGCGUGCGGGAUGACGGCCUUCGGGUUGUAAACCGCUUUCGCCUGUGACGAAGCGUGAGUGACGGUAAUGGGUAAAGAAGCGCCGGCUAACUACGUGCCAGCAGCCGCGGUGAUACGUAGGGUGCGAGCGUUGUCCGGAUUUAUUGGGCGUAAAGGGCUCGUAGGUGGUUGAUCGCGUCGGAAGUGUAAUCUUGGGGCUUAACCCUGAGCGUGCUUUCGAUACGGGUUGACUUGAGGAAGGUAGGGGAGAAUGGAAUUCCUGGUGGAGCGGUGGAAUGCGCAGAUAUCAGGAGGAACACCAGUGGCGAAGGCGGUUCUCUGGGCCUUUCCUGACGCUGAGGAGCGAAAGCGUGGGGAGCGAACAGGCUUAGAUACCCUGGUAGUCCACGCUGUAAACGGUGGGUACUAGGUGUGGGGUCCAUUCCACGGGUUCCGUGCCGUAGCUAACGCUUUAAGUACCCCGCCUGGGGAGUACGGCCGCAAGGCUAAAACUCAAAGGAAUUGACGGGGCCCCGCACAAGCGGCGGAGCAUGCGGAUUAAUUCGAUGCAACGCGUAGAACCUUACCUGGGUUUGACAUGGAUCGGGAGCGCUCAGAGAUGGGUGUGCCUCUUUUGGGGUCGGUUCACAGGUGGUGCAUGGCUGUCGUCAGCUCGUGUCGUGAGAUGUUGGGUUAAGUCCCGCAACGAGCGCAACCCUUGUUCACUGUUGCCAGCACGUUAUGGUGGGGACUCAGUGGAGACCGCCGGGGUCAACUCGGAGGAAGGUGGGGAUGACGUCAAGUCAUCAUGCCCCUUAUGUCCAGGGCUUCACGCAUGCUACAAUGGCUGGUACAGAGAGUGGCGAGCCUGCGAGGGUGAGCGAAUCUCGGAAAGCCGGUCUCAGUUCGGAUUGGGGUCUGCAACUCGACCUCAUGAAGUCGGAGUCGCUAGUAAUCGCAGAUCAGCAACGCUGCGGUGAAUACGUUCCCGGG